This 2177-nucleotide long non-coding RNA is filed under the name Rattus norvegicus (Norway rat). RNAcentral's name for it is "long non-coding RNA NONRATT016807". The record is from RNAcentral. Lineage: Eukaryota; Metazoa; Chordata; Mammalia; Rodentia; Muridae.
AAAAUUUUGAAAUCGUAAUCAGAACUGCAAAUACUCAGCCACUGCUUUCAGCUCCUUGUAAAUGCAUCACCUUGACUAUGCUAAGCUUUUUUUCCUCUUUCUACAAAAAGUCACCAUUGUCGAGAUACAUUAUUUUCUAAUUCAUAAGAAUCUUAGUUGGGCGGGGGGCAUCCUUUUAUUCUCUGAAGAACGUUCAUUCAAAGUUCUGUGAAGCAUUCUCAAGAUGUGAUUCCCAGAGGCCACCAUAAAUGACUCAGAUCUGCUUAGAAUCAAGACAGACAAAGACUGAAGGAUUGUGUAUCACAGUGUUUGCAGAAAUGUAACAGGUAUAGCAGCUCCGUUUAAAGGUCAAAUAGGUGGGGCUUUAUCAGUGAGCUCAUUGGUUUUUAUUUAGCCAUUUCCUAACUGCAGAAAACAAGGCAGGGCUCCUGUGCUAAGUAUUUAUGUAUCCGGGUAUUUAGGGGCUUUGCUCAUUUUCUCCUACAUUUCUAUAAAAAGAAUUUUGCAUGAUUUUAUGAUUGACAGCAUCUUAGAAUCUAGUUUAUGAUCCUCAUAGCACGAGGAAGGAAUCUUUAUCUGGGGAAAGUCUGUGGUACAGUAGCAAUCCAGUCUUCUCUGAUGACUGUGUUCUUAAAAGACUGUCGGCAACACUUUGAAGAUCCAAGAAGCUGUAACUGGUCUGGGUAGACUUCCGGAAAGUCAGCGGACACUAGUGAUGCCAUUGCUCUGGGGAUAUUACAAACUGCCUCCCGCCUGUGUCCUCCUGCGCUCUAAGAUGUUUGCUGUUAACGUGGUCACGGAUCCAAACCCACGCUGGGGAAAUGGUACUAGAACUCCUUACAUUCCACCUAAAAGGCAAUGAGGAGAAAGUUUCGUUGGAAGUCACGGUGGAGCUGUUCACUGACUGACACUAAAGAUAGCAUCCUCUGGGCCAGCACGAAGAACAGAGUGGCUGCCCUCAACACCUUCGCUGGGGAAUCGUCUGCCAAGCAGCACAGAUCCAUGUUCAGAAGGUUUAAGUAGUGUCUGGUUUACAACUGCAUUUUACUCAGACCCUGCCAAUGAAAGACAUCUAUGUCCUAGAUAGAAGCCUGUGCCUUCACACAGCUUUAAACAUGAGUUUGUAAUUUUGAUUAUGAUAUUAGAAAGCCUGAAAAACAAAAACAAAAACAAUGAUUGCAUAUGCUUCUAUACCCCAACUCAUUGGGCUGUAGUAAGUAACAUGGUCUUGAAAUAGUUACCAGGAACCCUUGGUAGAGAGUAGCCCACACAGACUGAAGCUGGAACUCACUGCAAGAACCAUCUCGGCAGUUCUGGUGUUUCUGUAGAGACGGGGUUUCUGUUCACCCUGUCCUCUCCCCCCAGGUGUGAGUUACUCACUCCCACGUUGGUGGGAUUUGGCAGAAGCAAACCCGAAUGCCGUGACCGGGACUGCGGCCGCCAUGCUGGGGAUUGUUUGGGUGGAGAGUUGCCCUAUUGUGUUCCAUUAAGAACAGUCACUCUCGGGGCUGGGGAUUUAGCUCAGUGGUAGAGCGCUUACCUAGGAAGCGCAAGGCCCUGGGUUCGGUCCCCAGCUCCGAAAAAAAGAACCAAAAAAAAAGAUUUAAGAACGGUCACUCUCUCUGGAUAUUUUGUCAUUCAAAACUCUUUCGGAGGUAUUUCUUGAAGGUGCGUCUAAUAAAAACACCAUGGGUAUUACAUGAUUUUAAAUGUCGCUCAAAUACACUUAACCUUUUUUGUCGUUUCCCUUCAAAUAUGUUUUCUAUAUUUUCUCCCCUAAUUUGGAAAUGGUGUGACUGAAAUUCUCCCCUUCUUCCUGUAUGCCGGACACCACUCAGCACUGCACUUGCUUGUCUGUAAUGGUGGAAGACAUACGGCUAGUUUUGGACUUGGGGUUGGCGCCUUGGUGAAGAUGAGGCAUCAGAACAUUUCUAAGUGUUUACAUACAAGGCUAGGUGGGGAUGUCACACGUAAGACUUGGAUGGUUUGAAAAUGCUGCUGUGAAUAAUUAUGACUUGCCCACGUGCACUACAAUAGACCUACUAUGUAUCUUUUGCCUUUUCUACUUGUACACAUUGACAUACGUGUUUUGUUUAACUGCGGUGUAUUUUUAAAUGAUCAUAAACAGCUGUAUUGAAAUUUUGUUUUCAAUUAAAUUUCUGUGUAAAAGCCUUCCU